AUACGGAGGGGGCUAGCGUUGUUCGGAAUUACUGGGCGUAAAGCGCGCGUAGGCGGCUUAUCAAGUUAGGCGUGAAAGGCCUGGGCUCAACCCGGGAACUGCGCUUAAUACUGGUAGACUUGAGUCCGGGAGAGGGUGGCGGAAUUCCCAGUGUAGAGGUGAAAUUCGUAGAUAUUAGGAAGAACACCAGUGGCGAAGGCGGCCACCUGGCCCGGUACUGACGCUGAGGCGCGAAAGCGUGGGGAGCAAACAGGAUUAGAAACCCCAGUAGUCC
Molecule: ribosomal RNA, 274 nt
Filed under: uncultured bacterium
Lineage: Bacteria
Description: partial 16S ribosomal RNA
Rfam family: Bacterial small subunit ribosomal RNA
Source: RNAcentral